CCAGGUCUUGACAUCCUCUGACAACCCUAGAGAUAGGGCUUUCCCUUCGGGGACAGAGUGACAGGUGGUGCAUGGUUGUCGUCAGCUCGUGUCGUGAGAUGUUGGGUUAAGUCCCGCAACGAGCGCAACCCUUGAUCUUAGUUGCCAGCAUUCAGUUGGGCACUCUAAGGUGACUGCCGGUGACAAACCGGAGGAAGGUGGGGAUGACGUCAAAUCAUCAUGCCCCUUAUGACCUGGGCUACACACGUGCUACAAUGGACAGAACAAAGGGCUGCGAGACCGCAAGGUUUAGCCAAUCCCACAAAUCUGUUCUCAGUUCGGAUCGCAGUCUGCAACUCGACUGCGUGAAGCUGGAAUCGCUAGUAAUCGCGGAUCAGCAUGCCGCGGUGAAUA
This 393-nucleotide ribosomal RNA is filed under the name Bacillus pumilus. RNAcentral describes it as "bacterial SSU rRNA". It matches the Rfam family "Bacterial small subunit ribosomal RNA", at positions 974 to 1368 of the family's 1533-position model. Lineage: Bacteria; Bacillati; Bacillota; Bacilli; Caryophanales; Bacillaceae. The record is from RNAcentral.